Molecule: ribosomal RNA, 253 nt
Filed under: uncultured bacterium
Lineage: Bacteria
Description: partial 16S ribosomal RNA
Rfam family: Bacterial small subunit ribosomal RNA
Source: RNAcentral
UACGUAGGGUGCAAGCGUUAAUCGGAAUUACUGGGCGUAAAGCGUGCGCAGGCGGUUUUGUAAGUUUGUCGUGAAAGCCCCGGGCUCAACCUGGGAAUUGCGAUGAAGACUGCAAGGCUUGAAUCUGGCAGAGGGGGGUAGAAUUCCACGUGUAGCAGUGAAAUGCGUAGAGAUGUGGAGGAACACCGAUGGCGAAGGCAGCCCCCUGGGUCAACACUGACGCUCACGCACGAAAGCGUGGGGAGCAAACAGG